GAUGAACGCUGGCGGCGUGCCUAAUACAUGCAAGUCGAGCGAACAGACGAGGAGCUUGCUCCUUCGACGUUAGCGGCGGACGGGUGAGUAACACGUAGGUAACCUACCUAUAAGACUGGGAUAACUUCGGGAAACCGGAGCUAAUACCGGAUAAUAUUUCGAACCGCAUGGUUCGAUAGUGAAAGAUGGCUUUGCUAUCACUUAUAGAUGGACCUGCGCCGUAUUAGCUAGUUGGUAAGGUAACGGCUUACCAAGGCAACGAUACGUAGCCGACCUGAGAGGGUGAUCGGCCACACUGGAACUGAGACACGGUCCAGACUCCUACGGGAGGCAGCAGUAGGGAAUCUUCCGCAAUGGGCGAAAGCCUGACGGAGCAACGCCGCGUGAGUGAUGAAGGUCUUCGGAUCGUAAAACUCUGUUAUUAGGGAAGAACAAACGUGUAAGUAACUGUGCACGUCUUGACGGUGCCUAAUCAGAAAGCCACGGCUAACUACGUG
This 497-nucleotide ribosomal RNA is filed under the name uncultured bacterium. RNAcentral's name for it is "partial 16S ribosomal RNA". It matches the Rfam family "Bacterial small subunit ribosomal RNA", at positions 28 to 507 of the family's 1533-position model. The record is from RNAcentral.